Molecule: microRNA precursor, 58 nt
Filed under: Sarcophilus harrisii (Tasmanian devil)
Lineage: Eukaryota; Metazoa; Chordata; Mammalia; Dasyuromorphia; Dasyuridae
Description: Sha-Mir-7371-o2_pre stem-loop
Source: RNAcentral
CCUUUGUACAAGAUGUUCUGUUGUAUAAAUAGCAAAUAGAGCAUUUUGUAUGAAGGGA